CCUACGGGCGGCAGCAGUGGGGAAUAUUGCGCAAUGGGCGCAAGCCUGAUCCAGCAACGCCGCGUGAAGGAAGAAGUAUUUCGGGUUGUAAACUUCUUUUCUGAGGGACGAAGAAAGUGACGGUACCUCAGGAAUAAGCCACGGCGAACUACGUGCCAGCAGCCGCGGUAAUACGUAGGUGGCAAGCGUUAUCCGUAUGUAUUGGGUGUAAAGGGAGUGUAGGCGGGAAAGCAAGUCAGAUGUGAAAACUCAGGGCUCAACCCUGGGACUGCAUUUGAAACUGUUUUUCUUGAGUGCUGGAGAGGCAAGCGGAAUUCCUGGUGUAGCGGUGAAAUGCGUAGAUAUAAGGAGGAACACCAGUGGCGAAGGCGGAUUGCUGGACAGUAACUGACGCUGAGGCGCGAAAGCGUGGGGAGCAAACAGGAUUAGAUACCCGGGUAGUC
RNAcentral lists this ribosomal RNA (443 nucleotides) under uncultured bacterium. Its description in RNAcentral is "partial 16S ribosomal RNA". It matches the Rfam family "Bacterial small subunit ribosomal RNA", at positions 338 to 795 of the family's 1533-position model. The record is from RNAcentral.